AUGUGUGAAAGUAAAUUGUCUGAGUGCAUUGACGUGGAGACUGUUGCAACAACAUUGGUUUUAGCAGAGCAACACCAUUGCCAGGUCCUCAAAGAAGCUUGUGUUGAGUUUAUGGCUCCACGGAAUGUUCUACAAGCUGUUAUGGCAACCGAUGGUUCCAAGCAUUUGGUAGCAAGCUGUCCUUUGGUCAUGAAGGAGUUACUGGACAUGGUGUCCCGUGGUGGCUAG
This 228-nucleotide ribosomal RNA is filed under the name Triticum aestivum (bread wheat). RNAcentral describes it as "partial small subunit ribosomal RNA". Lineage: Eukaryota; Viridiplantae; Streptophyta; Magnoliopsida; Poales; Poaceae. The record is from RNAcentral.